This 492-nucleotide ribosomal RNA is filed under the name uncultured bacterium. RNAcentral's name for it is "partial 16S ribosomal RNA". It matches the Rfam family "Bacterial small subunit ribosomal RNA", at positions 29 to 507 of the family's 1533-position model. The record is from RNAcentral.
AGUGAACGCUGGCGGUAGGCCUAACACAUGCCAGUCGAACGGCAGCACAGUAGGAGCUUGCUCUUACGGGUGGCGAGUGGCGGACGGGUGAGGAAUACAUCGGAAUCUACUUUUUCGUGGGGGAUAACGUAGGGAAACUUACGCUAAUACCGCAUACGACCUACGGGUGAAAGCAGGGGAUCUUCGGACCUUGCGCGAUUGAAUGAGCCGAUGUCGGAUUAGCUAGUUGGCGGGGUAAAGGCCCACCAAGGCGACGAUCCGUAGCUGGUCUGAGAGGAUGAUCAGCCACACUGGAACUGAGACACGGUCCAGACUCCUACGGGAGGCAGCAGUGGGGAAUAUUGGACAAUGGGCGCAAGCCUGAUCCAGCCAUACCGCGUGGGUGAAGAAGGCCUUCGGGUUGUAAAGCCCUUUUGUUGGGAAAGAAAAGCAGCAGGUUAAUACCCCGCUGUUCCGACGGUACCCAAAGAAUAAGCACCGGCUAACUUCGUG